Molecule: RNA transcript, 1657 nt
Organism: Parus major (Great Tit)
Lineage: Eukaryota; Metazoa; Chordata; Aves; Passeriformes; Paridae
Exons: 3
Source: RefSeq, a predicted model, not a curated record
CUAGCCUUGGCAGAGGUGCUGGCAGCGCUGCCCGAAGGAGGACCCCGGCAGCUGGGAGGGCGCGGGAGGCCGGGGACGCCCGAGGGUCGGGCGGCCCUGGAAGGAGGUGGUGUCUGGAGCGGUCUGGCAGGAGCGAGCCGAAGCACACUGCUCGGCCUUGACUGCCUCUCUCCCAAAUCUGGUUUUCAUAGAGCCGCGCAGUAAUUACCUAAAGCCAUAACUGUCUCUGAAAUUAUUCAUUAAAGUCAUUCCCGGGAAUCUAGCGGCACGAGAGCCUACAUUUACGGCCUUUGCGCCCUCCGAGCAUGACAUCGUCUCUCGCCUUGCGUCCUCGGCGGCCGAGUGCUCAGCAUCGCAGAGAGGAAGGGGGAGACAGGAUUGCUCUCUCUUGCCUUCCCCUCGGUGUAUUUGUUUGCGGGGGCUCAGGUUGCUUUCCCCCUUUUGGCAAAGGAGCGCGAUGCAACCCGGCAGAUACCUUGGGAGCGAGGAGGGUAUUUUGGGGAGUUGCAGUGUUGUGCGGAACAUCAUGUCUGUGCCCUGUGGUGCUGUCAGCGGUGACAGAUCCCAGAUGCAGUCGCUACUGUAUGGCAGAUUGAGUUUCUCAGCAGAAAACUCUCUCCCUCCCUCCCAAACGUCUUCAAAAACCUUCUCCAGAUACUGCGGGUCACUUCGGCUCAAACGGGGAGAGAAAGGGGGGAAAAAAGGCUUUUCCUCUCUCCUCCCUCUCUCUUCCUCCCGCCGGAUCUCUCUGGGGUGCGCGGGGGGCCGUGACCGGGCCCUUGUGCACCCGGGGGCCCGAGGCGACCCCUCUCACCCUGGUCCUGCUGAGAGCCCGUCGCCGAGCACGGGGACCGUGGUCCAGCCGACAUCUAAUUCAGCCAAACACAGCAAAUAUCUCUACCUCAAGUCCAAGAAUCUGAUGGAUACUCCUUUACCCCUGCUUAAUGACUGCAUGUGACCUGUCCUGUGAUCUGCCGAGGUCUGGAGUCAUCUGACAUCGGUAGUAAUGGGGAAUGGAGAAGGAUCUUAUGGCUUUGGACUGUUGGAAAACAGAGCGGAGAUGGCCCACAAGUGGAUCAAAUCAGUCCUGCACUGUUGUACCCAGUCUAUAGCAAAACUCCCUUUUGAGGAAGAUUCUGCAGACUUAAGGACCGAGGAGUUAGGACUGGGAGCUAAGGAAAGGACACGAGUAACUUCCUUCAUAGCUGGUUUUAAAAAGCCAGCUGCUUUCUACAGUCAAGUCAAAACUAAGGGAGAUGGUCUGAGGUUAAGAAAUAUGCAGGAUAAUUUUCACACCAAAUGUGAAAAAUGAGAAAUUAUUUUAACAUGUUGCAACUUGUCAUAAAAAUAUAUGUUCCUUUCCAUCUUUAAAAGAAGACUUUAUAAACUCUACUGUCUUUGAUUUUUUAAAGAGAUUUUAUAUUGAUUUUUUAAUUCAUAUGUUCUUAAGAAAGCAUAAUGAAACACUUGUUUCUAUUAUCUUGAUUAGUGCUUCAUUAUAUAAGGAUUUGGUCAUUGAAACAUACACUAAAUAUUGCACUGUAAAUUGUGUUGUGACUUAUUCAAUACCUUUGGAAUUAAUAGUAAAAAUUCAAGGUUGCAAAAAUGGUAUUUAAUUUUUAAUUUUAUUUAGUUUAAUAAAAAACUCACUUGACUG